AUACGUAGGGGGCAAGCGUUAUCCGGAUUUACUGGGUGUAAGGGGUGCGUAGGUGGCAAGGCAAGUCAGAUGUGAAAGCCCGGGGCUCAACCCCGGUACUGCAUUUGAAACUGUCUGGCUAGAGUGCAGGAGAGGUAAGCGGAAUUCCUAGUGUAGCGGUGAAAUGCGUAGAUAUUAGGAGGAACACCAGUGGCGAAGGCGGCCAACUGGGCUUUUACUGACGCUGAGGCUCGAAAGUAUGGGGAGC
RNAcentral lists this ribosomal RNA (247 nucleotides) under uncultured bacterium. Its description in RNAcentral is "partial 16S ribosomal RNA". It matches the Rfam family "Bacterial small subunit ribosomal RNA", at positions 523 to 769 of the family's 1533-position model. The record is from RNAcentral.